Molecule: ribosomal RNA, 425 nt
Filed under: uncultured bacterium
Lineage: Bacteria
Description: partial 16S ribosomal RNA
Rfam family: Bacterial small subunit ribosomal RNA
Source: RNAcentral
GUGGGGAAUCUUGCGCAAUGGGCGAAAGCCUGACGCAGCCAUGCCGCGUGAAUGAUGAAGGUCUUAGGAUUGUAAAAUUCUUUCACCGGGGACGAUAAUGACGGUACCCGGAGAAGAAGCUCCGGCUAACUUCGUGCCAGCAGCCGCGGUAAUACGAAGGGGGCUAGCGUUGCUCGGAAUUACUGGGCGUAAAGGGCGCGUAGGCGGACAGCUUAGUCAGAGGUGAAAUCCCAGGGCGCAACCUUGGAAUUGCCUUUGAUACUGGCUGUCUUGAGUUUGGGAGAGGUGAGUGGAACUCCGAGUGUAGAGGUGAAAUUCGUAGAUAUUCGGAAGAACACCAGUGGCGAAGGCGACUCACUGGCCCAAUACUGACGCUGAGGCGCGAAAGCGUGGGGAGCAAACAGGAUUAGAAACCCGAGUAGUCC